This 2787-nucleotide ribosomal RNA is filed under the name human gut metagenome. RNAcentral describes it as "bacterial LSU rRNA". It matches the Rfam family "Bacterial large subunit ribosomal RNA". The record is from RNAcentral.
AGCGUACACGGUGGAUGCCCUGGCAGUCAGAGGCGAUGAAGGACGUGCUAAUCUGCGAUAAGCGUCGGUAAGGUGAUAUGAACCGUUAUAACCGGCGAUUUCCGAAUGGGGAAACCCAGUGUGUUUCGACACACUAUCAUUAACUGAAUCCAUAGGUUAAUGAGGCGAACCGGGGGAACUGAAACAUCUAAGUACCCCGAGGAAAAGAAAUCAACCGAGAUUCCCCCAGUAGCGGCGAGCGAACGGGGAGCAGCCCAGAGCCUGAAUCAGUGUGUGUGUUAGUGGAAGCGUCUGGAAAGGCGCGCGAUACAGGGUGACAGCCCCGUACACAAAAAUGCACAUGCUGUGAGCUCGAUGAGUAGGGCGGGACACGUGGUAUCCUGUCUGAAUAUGGGGGGACCAUCCUCCAAGGCUAAAUACUCCUGACUGACCGAUAGUGAACCAGUACCGUGAGGGAAAGGCGAAAAGAACCCCGGCGAGGGGAGUGAAAAAGAACCUGAAACCGUGUACGUACAAGCAGUGGGAGCACGCUUAGGCGUGUGACUGCGUACCUUUUGUAUAAUGGGUCAGCGACUUAUAUUCUGUAGCAAGGUUAACCGAAUAGGGGAGCCGAAGGGAAACCGAGUCUUAACUGGGCGUUAAGUUGCAGGGUAUAGACCCGAAACCCGGUGAUCUAGCCAUGGGCAGGUUGAAGGUUGGGUAACACUAACUGGAGGACCGAACCGACUAAUGUUGAAAAAUUAGCGGAUGACUUGUGGCUGGGGGUGAAAGGCCAAUCAAACCGGGAGAUAGCUGGUUCUCCCCGAAAGCUAUUUAGGUAGCGCCUCGUGAAUUCAUCUCCGGGGGUAGAGCACUGUUUCGGCAAGGGGGUCAUCCCGACUUACCAACCCGAUGCAAACUGCGAAUACCGGAGAAUGUUAUCACGGGAGACACACGGCGGGUGCUAACGUCCGUCGUGAAGAGGGAAACAACCCAGACCGCCAGCUAAGGUCCCAAAGUCAUGGUUAAGUGGGAAACGAUGUGGGAAGGCCCAGACAGCCAGGAUGUUGGCUUAGAAGCAGCCAUCAUUUAAAGAAAGCGUAAUAGCUCACUGGUCGAGUCGGCCUGCGCGGAAGAUGUAACGGGGCUAAACCAUGCACCGAAGCUGCGGCAGCGACGCUGAUGCGUUGUUGGGUAGGGGAGCGUUCUGUAAGCCUGCGAAGGUGUGCUGUGAGGCAUGCUGGAGGUAUCAGAAGUGCGAAUGCUGACAUAAGUAACGAUAAAGCGGGUGAAAAGCCCGCUCGCCGGAAGACCAAGGGUUCCUGUCCAACGUUAAUCGGGGCAGGGUGAGUCGACCCCUAAGGCGAGGCCGAAAGGCGUAGUCGAUGGGAAACAGGUUAAUAUUCCUGUACUUGGUGUUACUGCGAAGGGGGGACGGAGAAGGCUAUGUUGGCCGGGCGACGGUUGUCCCGGUUUAAGCGUGUAGGCUGGUUUUCCAGGCAAAUCCGGAAAAUCAAGGCUGAGGCGUGAUGACGAGGCACUACGGUGCUGAAGCAACAAAUGCCCUGCUUCCAGGAAAAGCCUCUAAGCAUCAGGUAACAUCAAAUCGUACCCCAAACCGACACAGGUGGUCAGGUAGAGAAUACCAAGGCGCUUGAGAGAACUCGGGUGAAGGAACUAGGCAAAAUGGUGCCGUAACUUCGGGAGAAGGCACGCUGAUAUGUAGGUGAAGCGACUUGCUCGUGGAGCUGAAAUCAGUCGAAGAUACCAGCUGGCUGCAACUGUUUAUUAAAAACACAGCACUGUGCAAACACGAAAGUGGACGUAUACGGUGUGACGCCUGCCCGGUGCCGGAAGGUUAAUUGAUGGGGUUAGCGCAAGCGAAGCUCUUGAUCGAAGCCCCGGUAAACGGCGGCCGUAACUAUAACGGUCCUAAGGUAGCGAAAUUCCUUGUCGGGUAAGUUCCGACCUGCACGAAUGGCGUAAUGAUGGCCAGGCUGUCUCCACCCGAGACUCAGUGAAAUUGAACUCGCUGUGAAGAUGCAGUGUACCCGCGGCAAGACGGAAAGACCCCGUGAACCUUUACUAUAGCUUGACACUGAACAUUGAGCCUUGAUGUGUAGGAUAGGUGGGAGGCUUUGAAGUGUGGACGCCAGUCUGCAUGGAGCCGACCUUGAAAUACCACCCUUUAAUGUUUGAUGUUCUAACGUUGACCCGUAAUCCGGGUUGCGGACAGUGUCUGGUGGGUAGUUUGACUGGGGCGGUCUCCUCCUAAAGAGUAACGGAGGAGCACGAAGGUUGGCUAAUCCUGGUCGGACAUCAGGAGGUUAGUGCAAUGGCAUAAGCCAGCUUGACUGCGAGCGUGACGGCGCGAGCAGGUGCGAAAGCAGGUCAUAGUGAUCCGGUGGUUCUGAAUGGAAGGGCCAUCGCUCAACGGAUAAAAGGUACUCCGGGGAUAACAGGCUGAUACCGCCCAAGAGUUCAUAUCGACGGCGGUGUUUGGCACCUCGAUGUCGGCUCAUCACAUCCUGGGGCUGAAGUAGGUCCCAAGGGUAUGGCUGUUCGCCAUUUAAAGUGGUACGCGAGCUGGGUUUAGAACGUCGUGAGACAGUUCGGUCCCUAUCUGCCGUGGGCGCUGGAGAACUGAGGGGGGCUGCUCCUAGUACGAGAGGACCGGAGUGGACGCAUCACUGGUGUUCGGGUUGUCAUGCCAAUGGCACUGCCCGGUAGCUAAAUGCGGAAGAGAUAAGUGCUGAAAGCAUCUAAGCACGAAACUUGCCCCGAGAUGAGUUCUCCCUGACUCCUUGA